CACAUACCAAGGAAAGGCAGCAGGCACNCAAAUUACCCACUCCCGGCACGGGGAGGUAGUGACAAAAAAUAACGAUACGGGACUCAUCCGAGGCCCCGUAAUCGGAAUGAGAACACCCUAAAUCCUUUAACGAGGAUCUAUUGGAGGGCAAGUCUGGUGCCAGCAGCCGCGGUAAUUCCAGCUCCAAUAGCGUAUAUUAAAGUUGUUGCGGUUAAAAAGCUCGUAGUUGGUUCUGCGUGCCACGCUGUCGGUUCACCGCCUGUCGGUGCAACUGGCAUGCCGUGGCAUGUCCUGUCGGUGGCUGACGGGCUUCGCGGCGCGCCCCAUUCGCUCACGCGUGUGGGUCGACGCGCCGUGUUGUCCUCGUUGGCCGGCUCAAUCCUACCGCGGUGCUCUUAAACGAGUGUCGAGGUAGGCCGACACUGUUUACUUUGAACAAAUUAGAGUGCUUCAAGCAGGCUCUGAAAGCAGCCUGAAUAGUGGUGCAUGGAAUAAUGGAACAGGACCUUGGUUCUAUUUUGUUGGUUUUCGGAAUCCAAGGUAAUGAUCAAUAAGGACAGGCGGGGGCAUUCGUAUUGCGACGUUAGACUUGGCAAAUGCUUUCGCGGUGAAAUUCUUGGAUCGUCGCAAGACGCACUAGAGCGAAAGCAUUUGCCAAGUAUGUCUUAAUUGAUCAAGAACGAAAGUUAGAGGUUCGAAGGCGAUCAGAUACCGCCCUAGUUCUAACCAUAAACGAUGCCAGCCAGCGAUCCGCCGAUGUUCCUCCGAUGACUCGGCGGGGAGCUUUCCCCGGGAAACCAAAGCUUUUGGGUUCCGGGGGAAGUAUGGUUGCAAAGCUGAAACUUAAAGGAAUUGACGGAAGGGCACCACCAGGAGUGGAGCCUGCGGCUUAAUUUGACUCAACACGGGAAACCUCACCAGGCCCGGACAUUGGAAGGAUUGACAGAUCGAUAGCUCUUUCUCGAUUCAGUGGGUAGUGGUGCAUGGCCGUUCUUAGUUGGUGGACUGAUUUGUCUGGUUAAUUCCGAUAACGAACGAGACUCUGACCUAUUAACUAGGCGCUCCCGGUAUAAAUACCUACCGGNGACAAUUAUUCUUCUU
Molecule: ribosomal RNA, 1101 nt
Filed under: Tholosanus sp. WCW-2003
Lineage: Eukaryota; Metazoa; Arthropoda; Insecta; Hemiptera; Pentatomidae
Description: SSU rRNA
Rfam family: Eukaryotic small subunit ribosomal RNA
Source: RNAcentral